This 270-nucleotide ribosomal RNA is filed under the name uncultured bacterium. RNAcentral describes it as "partial 16S ribosomal RNA". It matches the Rfam family "Bacterial small subunit ribosomal RNA", at positions 524 to 788 of the family's 1533-position model. The record is from RNAcentral.
UACGGAGGGUACGAACGUUAAUCGGAAUUACUGGGCGUAAAGCGCGCGUAGGCGGUUUGAUAAGUGGGAUGUGAAAGCCCCGGGCUUAACCUGGGAACUGCAUUCCAAACUGUCAGACUAGAGUAUGGUAGAGGCUGGUAGAAUUUCCUGUGUAGCGGUGAAAUGCGUAGAUAUAGGAAGGAAUACCGAUGGCGAAGGCAGCCAGCUGGACCAAUACUGACGACUGAGGUUGGACGAAACGAUGGGGCAAACAGGGGAUUAAGAUACCCG